AUGAGCAUGUUGAGAUGGAUGUGUGGCCACACAAGGAAGGACCGAGUCCGGAAUGAUGAUAUACGAGAUAGAGUUGGGGUAGCACCGAUUGAAGAGAAGCUUGUCCAACAUCAUCUGAGAUGGUUUGGGCAUAUUCAACGCAGGCCUCCAGAAGCUCCAGUGCACAGCGGACAGCUAAAGUGUGCUGAUAAUGUCAAGAGAGGUCGGGGUAGAUCGAACUUGACAUGGGAGGAGUCCGUAAAGAGAUACCUGAAGGAUUGGAAUAUCACCAAAGAGCUUGCCAUGGACAGGGGUGCAUGGAAGCUUGCUAUCCAUAUGCCAGAACAAUGA
This 330-nucleotide ribosomal RNA is filed under the name Triticum aestivum (bread wheat). RNAcentral's name for it is "partial small subunit ribosomal RNA". The record is from RNAcentral. Lineage: Eukaryota; Viridiplantae; Streptophyta; Magnoliopsida; Poales; Poaceae.